Molecule: ribosomal RNA, 483 nt
Filed under: uncultured bacterium
Lineage: Bacteria
Description: bacterial SSU rRNA
Rfam family: Bacterial small subunit ribosomal RNA
Source: RNAcentral
AGGAUGAACGCUGGCGGCGUGCCUAACACAUGCAAGUCGAACGGAGUUGUCACCAUGAAGUUUCGGAUGGAUUGGUAACAACUUAGUGGCGGACGGGUGAGUAACGCGUGGGUAACCUGCCUCAUACUGGGGGAUAACAGCUGGAAACGGCUGCUAAAACCGCAUAAGAUCGCAUCACCGCAUGGUAAGGCGGUUAAAUAUCGAAAGAUAGGUAUGAGAUGGGCCCGCGUCUGAUUAGCUAGUUGGUGAGAUAAGAGCCCACCAAGGCGACGAUCAGUAGCCGGCUUGAGAGAGUGACCGGCCACAUUGGGACUGAGACACGGCCCAAACUCCUACGGGAGGCAGCAGUGGGGAAUAUUGCACAAUGGGGGAAACCCUGAUGCAGCGACGCCGCGUGAGUGAAGAAGUGCUUCGGCAUGUAAAGCUCUAUCAGCAGGGAAGAAGAUGACGGUACCUGACUAAGAAGCCCCGGCUAACUACGUG